GGGGGGGGCAAGCGUUGUUCGGAAUUACUGGGCGUAAAGGGCUCGUAGGUGGCCAACUAAGUCAGACGUGAAAUCCCUCGGCUUAACCGGGGAACUGCGUCUGAUACUGGAUGGCUUGAGGUUGGGAGAGGGAUGCGGAAUUCCAGGUGUAGCGGUGAAAUGCGUAGAUAUCUGGAGGAACACCGGUGGCGAAGGCGGCAUCCUGGACCAAUUCUGACGCUGAGGAGCGAAAGCCAGGGGAGCAAACGGGAUUAGAUACCCCGGUAGUCCUGGCCCUAAACGAUGAAUGCUUGGUGUGGCGGGUAUCGAUCCCUGCCGUGCCGAAGCUAACGCAUUAAGUGCUCCGCCUGGGGAGUAUGGUCGCAAGGCUG
This 371-nucleotide ribosomal RNA is filed under the name uncultured bacterium. RNAcentral describes it as "bacterial SSU rRNA". It matches the Rfam family "Bacterial small subunit ribosomal RNA", at positions 527 to 896 of the family's 1533-position model. The record is from RNAcentral.